UCCGGUUUGUCACCGGCAGUCUCACUAGAGUGCCCUUUCGUAGCAACUAGUGACAAGGGUUGCGCUCGUUGCGGGACUUAACCCAACAUCUCACGACACGAGCUGACGACAGCCAUGCAGCACCUGUGUCCAGGCUCCCUUUCGGGCACACCGAACUCUCAUCCGGCUUCCUGGCAUGUCAAGGGUAGGUAAGGUUCUUCGCGUUGCAUCGAAUUAAUCCACAUCAUCCACCGCUUGUGCGGGUCCCCGUCAAUUCCUUUGAGUUUUAACCUUGCGGCCGUACUCCCCAGGCGGUCAACUUCACGCGUUAGCUUCGUUACUGAGUACUAAUGCACCCAACAUCUAGUAUUCAUCGUUUAAGGUGUGGACUAC
This 372-nucleotide unclassified non-coding RNA is filed under the name uncultured bacterium. RNAcentral's name for it is "contains 16S-23S intergenic spacer region". The record is from RNAcentral.